RNAcentral lists this ribosomal RNA (440 nucleotides) under uncultured bacterium. RNAcentral's name for it is "partial 16S ribosomal RNA". It matches the Rfam family "Bacterial small subunit ribosomal RNA", at positions 338 to 795 of the family's 1533-position model. The record is from RNAcentral.
CCUACGGGAGGCUGCAGUGGGGAAUAUUGCACAAUGGGGGAAACCCUGAUGCAGCGACGCCGCGUGAGUGAAGAAGUAUUUCGGUAUGUAAAGCUCUAUCAGCAGGGAAGAAAAUGACGGUACCUGAGUAAGAAGCCCCGGCCAACGACGUGCCAGCAGCCGCGGUAAUACGUAGGGGGCAAGCGUUAUCCGGAUUUACUGGGUGUAAAGGGAGUGUAGACGGCAGCACAAGUCUGGAGUGAAAUGCCGGGGCUUAACCCCGGAACUGCUUUGGAAACUGUGCAGCUUGAGUGCAGGAGAGGUAAGUGGAAUUCCUAGUGUAGCGGUGAAAUGCGUAGAUAUUAGGAGGAACACCGGUGGCGAAGGCGGCUUACUGGACUGUAACUGACGUUGAGGCUCGAAAGCGUGGGGAGCAAACAGGAUUAGAUACCCGGGUAGUC